GCUCUGGUGGUCUAAGUGGUUAAGAGUAUCCGCCUCGGAUGCGGGAGGUCGUGGUUCGAUCCCCGGCCGAGGCA
This is a non-coding RNA of Potamilus streckersoni, 74 nucleotides long. Lineage: Eukaryota; Metazoa; Mollusca; Bivalvia; Unionida; Unionidae. The record is from the annotation of a GenBank genome assembly.